UUGGCAUGAUGAGGAAGACAAUUGGCGUCUGAUCUAUUUGAUGAUAAAAUCCUCCUACUCAUUCUGA
Triticum aestivum (bread wheat) is the source of this 67-nucleotide non-coding RNA. NCBI's taxonomy places the organism in Eukaryota, Viridiplantae, Streptophyta, Magnoliopsida, Poales, Poaceae. The record is from Rfam.